RNAcentral lists this long non-coding RNA (240 nucleotides) under Arabidopsis lyrata. RNAcentral describes it as "long non-coding RNA (ALYR_LNC002446)". Lineage: Eukaryota; Viridiplantae; Streptophyta; Magnoliopsida; Brassicales; Brassicaceae. The record is from RNAcentral.
AUUAAAUCGUUUUUCGAACGGUCUUCUCUUUUUGAAUUCUCCGAUUCAAAUCCGUUAACGUUCCGAUCAAAAUUCAAAAUUCUCUCGACAUCUCUUCUUUCUCCGGUGAAGAAGAUCGAUCAUAGUGGUGGAUCCAACGGACGAGAUCGCAAUUGGGGAAUCUGUUUGUCACCGAAACAGAAGUAUAAUUUCUUUUCUCAAUUUUUAGGUUUCUUUACUUCAAACAAAAGUAGCGAAAUA